CCGACGGUGAGAGGUGAAAGCUGGGGGAGCAAACCGGAUUAGAUACCCGGGUAGUCCCAGCUGUAAACGAUGCGCGUUAGGUGUGUCAGUGACCACGUGUCACUGAUGUGCCGAAGGGAAACCGUGAAACGCGCCGCCUGGGGAGUACGGUCGCAAGGCUGAAACUUAAAGGGAUUGGCGGGGGAGCACCACAACGGGUGGAGCCUGCGGUUUAAUCGGACUCAACGCCGGAAAUCUCACCGGAUAA
This 247-nucleotide ribosomal RNA is filed under the name uncultured archaeon. Its description in RNAcentral is "partial 16S ribosomal RNA". It matches the Rfam family "Archaeal small subunit ribosomal RNA", at positions 691 to 937 of the family's 1478-position model. The record is from RNAcentral.